Molecule: non-coding RNA, 709 nt
Organism: Chlorocebus sabaeus (green monkey)
Lineage: Eukaryota; Metazoa; Chordata; Mammalia; Primates; Cercopithecidae
Source: RefSeq, a predicted model, not a curated record
GUGAGCUGAGAUCACGCCAUUGCACACCAGCCUGGGCAACAAGAGCGAAACUCUGUCUCAAAGAAAAAAAAGAAGUUUCUUCCCCAACCCAAGCCUAAGCCCAGUGGGCCAGAUGCUUCCAAGUCUACAUCCUGGGGAUCCUGCCACACGCUUCCACCUGGUGCAAUAGGACAGACCGUUGUGAGGAUGUGAGUGUGCACCAGGGCCGAGGAGAACGCUCUCCUGUCUCUAUGGAGCCUGAUCCCUGCUUCCAGGAGCUGCCAACACAUGCAGACCCAGGCUAGCCUUGGGAUGUCGAGGCCCUUGAAGCAGAGUUAGAAGAAUGAAAUGGGCUGCAUCGAUACAGGAGGUGCGAAGGGCUGAGAGGAUAAAGAGCAGAGGCAGCAGUGAGGAUGAGCCAUACCGCUGGGGACCUGGAUUGUCACAGGAAGAAGAAGGAAGGGAAGCGGGCCUGUUGUAGGUGCAUGUGUUCCUGAAGGAGAGGAGCCACGCUGGACAGGGGACCAAGGGCUUCUGACUGGUGAACCACCCACCCCACCCCAAGACCCCACCCAGGAGGACCCACUCAGCAGGUGGCAGUGGAGACAGAGGCCGCCUGGGGCAUGCUGGCCGGACAGGAGCUGUCCGUUCCCCAAAUGCUGCCCGACGCCUUCAGAUGGAGGAGCCCAGGCUGUGACAGCCAGGUGGCCCGCGGAGAACUGCUAGAAGG